Molecule: transfer RNA, 77 nt
Filed under: Candidatus Thorarchaeota archaeon
Lineage: Archaea; Promethearchaeati; Candidatus Thorarchaeota
Description: tRNA-Ala
Rfam family: tRNA
About the family: Transfer RNA (tRNA) molecules are approximately 80 nucleotides in length. Their secondary structure includes four short double-helical elements and three loops (D, anti-codon, and T loops).
Source: RNAcentral
GGGCCGGUAGAUUAGCCCGGCAGAUCGUCUGGUUUGCAUCCAGAAGGUCGUGGGUUCAAAUCCCACCCGGUCCACCA